UCGUUUUUAGCUGAUUUUGGGGCUGGAUUGGAUUGGUUUUAAGAGUUUUUCUUGUAGCAUGUGUUCAAUGGUGAUUAGCAGCUGGGUUUUCGUGGUGAAGCUAAGAGGAGAUAAGAGGAAACGGGUGGGAAUGGGGAUUUUCCGUUCUCUCUGAUUUUGCAGUUCUCAUUUUUCUUUUCUCCUUGUUAUUGUUUGGUCCUAGCUCUAGAUUCUUUUGGAUUGGGAAGUUUUGCUGCGUUUUUUAGAUGAUGAAGGAGAAUUGGAAAUAGCUGCUG
RNAcentral lists this long non-coding RNA (275 nucleotides) under Nicotiana benthamiana. RNAcentral's name for it is "long non-coding RNA (NBEN_LNC015522)". Lineage: Eukaryota; Viridiplantae; Streptophyta; Magnoliopsida; Solanales; Solanaceae. The record is from RNAcentral.